GAAUACAUUUACAGAGGAAAGCAAAUGUGGUGAACCAUAACAUUUGUCCAUCUGUAUCAUGAAAUCCUAUUUGCACUCUCUUGGCCAUUGUGGCUUAUCACUUCCAGCUGGAGUGCAGUUCAACUUUCUGGGCUUAGAGAUGGAAAGAAAACUAGCAGCCUUCUCUGACAACAUGACAAGCAAAGGGAUUUGAACAGCAUCCUGGAGAAUUCUACCCUAUCAAAUUCUAAACAGAUUCCUCCCUGACGUUUCUGUAUGCACACUUUGGAUACUGGCACUUCAGUCCUGAAGCAAAUUCUUGGCCAAGUAUACAGCUCUAGUGGACGGACUGAGUAUCUGGGUGAUGAAUCAACAAAAACAAGGAACCACCCUAAUCAAGCUGGCGUGAGUGUACAUGCAUACCCACGCAGAAACAGUAGCAUGAAGAUUUCUUCACCUUGCUCGGUACUCAGCUGUGGACAAUACAGUGGGAGGAAAUGCAGCCAGAGCAGCUCUCCUGAACUGACCGAAGAGAUGCCCCACACCAUGUAAUGUCAUGUUCAACAAUAAAACUGGGGGAAGUUUGCAAAGAA
Molecule: long non-coding RNA, 572 nt
Organism: Coturnix japonica (Japanese quail)
Lineage: Eukaryota; Metazoa; Chordata; Aves; Galliformes; Phasianidae
Source: RefSeq, a predicted model, not a curated record